AGAGUUUGAUCCUGGCUCAGGAUGAACGCUAGCGGCAGGCUUAACACAUGCAAGUCGAGGGGCAGCGGGGAGGAAGCUUGCUUUCUCCGCCGGCGACCGGCGCACGGGUGAGUAACACGUAUGCAACCUGCCCCUGUCAGGGGGACAACCCGCCGAAAGGCGGGCUAAACCCGCGUACAUGCCACCGGGGCAUCCCGGAGGCAGGAAAGGCUCCGGCCGGACAGGGAUGGGCAUGCGGCGCAUUAGGCAGUAGGCGGGGUAACGGCCCACCUAACCGACGAUGCGUAGGGGUUCUGAGAGGAAGGUCCCCCACACUGGUACUGAGACACGGACCAGACUCCUACGGGAGGCAGCAGUGAGGAAUAUUGGUCAAUGGUCGGGAGACUGAACCAGCCAAGCCGCGUGAGGGAUGAAGGUACAGAGUAUCGUAAACCUCUUUUGUCAGGGAACAAAGGCGGGGACGCGUCCCCGGAUGAGUGUACCUGAAGAAAAAGCAUCGGCUAACUCCGUGCCAGCAGCCGCGGUAAUACGGAGGAUGCGAGCGUUAUCCGGAUUUAUUGGGUUUAAAGGGUGCGCAGGCGGUCUGUUAAGUCAGCGGUCAAAGCCCGGGGCUCAACCCCGGCCCGCCGUUGAAACUGGCAGUCUCGAGUUGGAGAGAAGUAUGCGGAAUGCGCGGUGUAGCGGUGAAAUGCAUAGAUAUCGCGCAGAACUCCGAUUGCGAAGGCAGCAUGCCGGCUCCACACUGACGCUGAGGCACGAAAGCGUGGGUAUCGAACAGGAUUAGAUACCCUGGUAGUCCACGCAGUAAACGAUGAAUGCUGGCUGUCCGGGGGGACUGACCCCUGGGUGGCGAAGCGAAAGCGAUAAGCAUUCCACCUGGGGAGUACGCCGGCAACGGUGAAACUCAAAGGAAUUGACGGGGGCCCGCACAAGCGGAGGAACAUGUGGUUUAAUUCGAUGAUACGCGAGGAACCUUACCCGGGCUCAAACGGGGAGUGACUCAGGCAGAGACGCCUGUUUCCCACGGGACACUCCCCGAGGUGCUGCAUGGUUGUCGUCAGCUCGUGCCGUGAGGUGUCGGCUUAAGUGCCAUAACGAGCGCAACCCCCGCGUGCAGUUGCUAACAGAUAACGCUGAGGACUCUGCAUGGACUGCCGGCGCAAGCCGCGAGGAAGGCGGGGAUGACGUCAAAUCAGCACGGCCCUUACGUCCGGGGCGACACACGUGUUACAAUGGGUGGUACAGCGGGAAGCCAGGCGGCGACGCCGAGCGGAACCCGAAAUCCACUCUCAGUUCGGAUCGGAGUCUGCAACCCGACUCCGUGAAGCUGGAUUCGCUAGUAAUCGCGCAUCAGCCAUGGCGCGGUGAAUACGUUCCCGGGCCUUGCACACACCGCCCGUCAAG
Molecule: ribosomal RNA, 1404 nt
Filed under: uncultured bacterium
Lineage: Bacteria
Description: partial 16S ribosomal RNA
Rfam family: Bacterial small subunit ribosomal RNA
Source: RNAcentral